Molecule: ribosomal RNA, 484 nt
Filed under: uncultured bacterium
Lineage: Bacteria
Description: partial 16S ribosomal RNA
Rfam family: Bacterial small subunit ribosomal RNA
Source: RNAcentral
AUUGAACGCUGGCGGCAUGCUUUACACAUGCAAGUCGAACGGCAGCGCGGGCUUCGGCCUGGCGGCGAGUGGCGAACGGGUGAGUAAUGCAUCGGAACGUGCCCAGUAGUGGGGGAUAGCCCGGCGAAAGCCGGAUUAAUACCGCAUACGACCUGAGGGUGAAAGCGGGGGACCGAAAGGCCUCGCGCUAUUGGAGCGGCCGAUGUCGGAUUAGCUAGUUGGUGGGGUAAAGGCUUACCAAGGCGACGAUCCGUAGCUGGUCUGAGAAGACGACCAGCCACACUGGGACUGAGACACGGCCCAGACUCCUACGGGAGGCAGCAGUGGGGAAUUUUGGACAAUGGGGGCAACCCUGAUCCAGCCAUGCCGCGUGCGGGAAGGAGGCCUUCGGGUUGUAAACCGCUUUUGUUCGGGAAGAAAUCCUCUGGGCUAAUACCCCGGGGGGAUGACGGUACCGGAAGAAUAAGCACCGGCUAACUACGUG